This is a long non-coding RNA of Salvelinus fontinalis (brook trout), 1369 nucleotides long. RefSeq lists it as uncharacterized. NCBI's taxonomy places the organism in Eukaryota, Metazoa, Chordata, Actinopteri, Salmoniformes, Salmonidae. The record is from RefSeq and is a predicted model, not a curated record. The transcript has 3 exons.
GAGUCCCAGUGGGUUUCAUCACGCACAUGGAUUGUUGAUGACUGAAGCAAACCAAGUGGAAUGCAAUACCUCAGGUUAUGCCUGUCCAUGCCUGCCCAGUUGGACGUACUGCCAAAUUCUCUAAAAUGAUGUUGGAGGCGGCUUAUGGUAUCGCCCAUCUUCCCCACUUAUCCUCUGGGUAUUUAACCUGUGUUUCCUGUCUGUCUGUUGCUAGUUCGUCUUGUUUGUUUUGCGUUUUGUGUCUCAGCGCCUGCUUUUUCCAGUUUCUCUUUUCUCGUCCUCCUGGUUUUUGACCCUUGCUUGUCCUGACCCUGUACCCGCCCGCCUGACCACUCUGCCUGAGCCUGCCUGCUGUCCUGUACCUUUGCUCCACCUCUGGAUUACUGACCUCUGCCUGACCUGACCCUGAGCCUGCCUGCCUGCCGUCCUGUACCUUGGCCUCUACUCUGCAUUAUCGACCCCGGCCUGCCUUGACCUGUCAUUUGCCUGCCCCUGUUGUUAGAAUAAACAUUGUUACUUCACACAGUCUGCACUUGGUUCUUACCUUGAUUCCUAAUAAUUUCCAUUACAAUGUCUUUAAUGAUAUCACAAAACAAUAAAUGAUCUGACAUGAUUUUUCUUUAAGUCCCUCACGACUAUUUUUAACAUUCUUUGUGUUAGAAAUAUUGUUUUAUUAUCCACUUUUGGAUGUUGGAGUUUUGGCGGAAGAAUAUCUUUGUAACAAAAGGGUUCUUUCCCCUCAAUACUGCAUGGCAAGGGAGAGAAAGUUCCUGCAAGAUAUUUACGACUGUCAUAAAAUUGGCCAACUCCCCCAGAAAAUGGUGGUCUUGAAACCUUUAAUUAGCCAGCACCUUUGAUCUCCAUCCAAGAGGGCAAGUCAUGACACUACCUAUUCAUGCAGGCCACCCUACCUAUUCAUGUAGGCCAACAUCUUUACAAGAGAAGGAGGUAACAGAAAACAUUGGCAGCUACAUAAAGUGCAGUGAUGCUUCAUACAAUUACUUAAACUCCCCCCUUCUUGUUUCCUGUAGCUGCUUGUAAUCAAAUCAAAAUCCAAUUUUAUUGGUUGCAUACCAAUAUUUAGCAGAUGUUAUUGCGGGUGUAGUGAAAUGCUUGUGUAAUACUAAGGUCCCCACACAAUACAAUGCACAAACCUGCCCUAGGCUAUUCCUUUACUUUCUUUGUAUGUUUCAUACAGACUUUGAGCUCCCGAGUGGCGCAGGGGUCUAAGGCACUGCAUCUCAGUGCAAGAGGCGUCACUAAAGUCCCUGGUUUGAUUCCAGGCUGUAUCAUAGGGCGGCACACAAUUGUUCCAGCAUCAUCCGGGGUAGGCCGUCAUUGUAAUUAAGAAUUUGUUCUUAACUGACUU